Molecule: long non-coding RNA, 203 nt
Organism: Sapajus apella (tufted capuchin)
Lineage: Eukaryota; Metazoa; Chordata; Mammalia; Primates; Cebidae
Exons: 3
Source: RefSeq, a predicted model, not a curated record
AGAAAAUGUGGUGCAUAUACACCAUGGAAUACUAUGUAGCCAUAAAAAUGGAAGAAGAUCAUGUCCUUUGCAGGAACAUGGAUGUAGCUGGAAGCCAUUCUUCUCACCAAACUAAUGCAGAAGCAUAAAACUAAAUACCACAUGUUCUCACAAGUGGGAGCUGAGUAAUCAGAACACAUGGACACAUGGCAGGCAACAAGACA